RNAcentral lists this ribosomal RNA (879 nucleotides) under uncultured bacterium. Its description in RNAcentral is "bacterial SSU rRNA". It matches the Rfam family "Bacterial small subunit ribosomal RNA", at positions 8 to 916 of the family's 1533-position model. The record is from RNAcentral.
AGAGUUUGAUCAUGGCUCAGGAUGAACGCUGGCGGCGUGCCUAACACAUGCAAGUCGAGCGAUCUUCUUCGGAAGAGAGCGGCGGACGGGUGAGUAACGCGUGGGUAACCUGCCUCAUACACAUGGAUAACAUACCGAAAGGUAUGCUAAUACAAGAUGAUAUAAGAGAUUCGCAUGGAUUUCUUAUCAAAGCUCCGGCGGUAUGAGAUGGACCCGCGUCUGAUUAGCUAGUUGGUAAGGUAACGGCUUACCAAGGCGACGAUCAGUAGCCGACCUGAGAGGGUGAUCGGCCACAUUGGAACUGAGACACGGUCCAAACUCCUACGGGAGGCAGCAGUGGGGAAUAUUGCACAAUGGGCGAAAGCCUGAUGCAGCAACGCCGCGUGAGCGAUGAAGGCCUUCGGGUCGUAAAGCUCUGUCCUCAAGGAAGAUAAUGACGGUGCUUGAGGAGGAAGCCCCGGCUAACUACGUGCCAGCAGCCGCGGUAAUACGUAGGGGGCUAGCGUUAUCCGGAUUUACUGGGCGUAAAGGGUGCGUAGGUGGUUUCUUAAGUCAGGAGUGAAAGGCUACGGCUCAACCGUAGUAAGCUCUUGAAACUGGGAAACUUGAGUGCAGGAGAGGAAAGUGGAAUUCCUAGUGUAGCGGUGAAAUGCGUAGAUAUUAGGAGGAACACCAGUAGCGAAGGCGGCUUUCUGGACUGUAACUGACACUGAGGCACGAAAGCGUGGGGAGCAAACAGGAUUAGAUACCCUGGUAGUCCACGCCGUAAACGAUGAGUACUAGGUGUCGGGGGUUACCCCCCUCGGUGCCGCAGCUAACGCAUUAAGUACUCCGCCUGGGGAGUACGCUCGCAAGAGUGAAACUCAAAGGAAUUGACGG